AUGCGCGACUCCUGGAUCUCGUCCUUAUCCACCACUUCACCACCACUUUCUUCUUUUGAGCCUUCGAGGCAGUGUUUAUAAGAGACGCUCAGGCACGGGCUCGGGAUCCGAAUUGCACCCUCUGCGCAUCGUAUAGCGUAGAGAAAGAAGGAGAGACUUCCGGGGAUUCAUCGGGUUACGUGUGUUCGCUUGGCUAUUAGAUGGAUGAAUAUUCGCUCGCACGGAUGCACAGAUUUGGAAUACUUGAGACGCCUCGGAGAACUGUAAUAAUCCUCGACAGGGCACAGCCUACGAGGAGUAAUGCGCACACAGGAGCAAGUGGGUGAACCAAGAAUCCAUCUACAUCUACACCUACCCGGAAAAAUGAGAAUCAUGCAAUCAGUGUAUCCGUAUGAGAUAAAAGAACUACUACGGAACUAUACGUGUGCUACUUGUACAACGAUUGGAUAAAGCGGAAUAACCGGAAUAUAUAAUUAAGCCAACAAUUAAAUGAUAUACGUGUGUUACUUGUAUAGAGAGAUACAACGAAUUUUGUGACAAAUGAUUACCAGUCAGUCAGAUUGGAAGAAAAAGAAAGAUAAGAGAAGAGAAGAGAAGAGGAAGAAAACAAGACAAAAUUGUAAUUUUUCAUUUAACUGAAUCAACCGUGCACAGUUUUGUCAAUUUUUACAUCUUAAAAAAUAUAAUGAGCAAGGGGCUUCAAGCAGCUGUAAGAAUGGUAUUACUGUCGCUCUUAUGUUUCCGCCACAUCAGCGUAACCUCUUUCUCUCGGCUUUGAAUCAAUAGGUGGAUAGCCCCAGCUGCUAUUAUCAAGGCAACUUUAUUCUCUCUUUAAAAAGGAGUCUUUUUUUUAAAGAGAUCUUUUCCACCUAAUUGUCCAAUUGCUGCUGAAUUAUUAACAUUAGCCCGAAUUAUAAUCACUAUUCACGACUGCGUCGUACGAGGCAGCAGGAGAUAGUUGAAUCUCAUCUAAUCGGAUAUCAACAGCACGAAAUUUCUGCGACAGUCUAGAUUGAGAAUUGUUGAUAUGGUUUCCUACAGCUCGUCGAGCAUCCAAACAAUGAUUGCACGUGGAACAAUAGUCAUCCUGAUUAUCUCGUUACUGUCUCAAGUAUUGCAAAUUUGUGCGCAAAAAGAACAUUCGAAAUGCAGUGCGUGGGAUAAGAGAGAGGUGUACAGAAGGAUGAGCGGAAUAUGUCAAUGCAGGAAUUGAUUGUUGAAAAUAAAACAUUUAAACAUGGUUUUUUACGUAACGUUAUUUAUAUAUUGUUACGAAAUGUACAUAAUAUAUAAUUCAACAGGUACUAAAAAGUGCACAACAAAAUUUUCGGAUACAAUACAGUAGUUGGAAACGAAUUUCCGUUGACAUCGCGUCAUCGAAUCCUUAUUUUGGUCACCUCACGUAUACGUAAUGUGAUGCGCGGCGCGUAGAGAAUUUAUGAUAAAAGAUUUGGUAUUUGCGGUACACAGUGUUUUCCGUUAUCUAAAUAAAAUUAUUUAGAUUAUCGUCUA
Ooceraea biroi (clonal raider ant) is the source of this 1512-nucleotide long non-coding RNA. RefSeq lists it as uncharacterized. Lineage: Eukaryota; Metazoa; Arthropoda; Insecta; Hymenoptera; Formicidae. The record is from RefSeq and is a predicted model, not a curated record.